AACGAACGCUGGCGGCAUGCCUAACACAUGCAAGUCGAACGAGACCUUCGGGUCUAGUGGCGCACGGGUGCGUAACGCGUGGGAAUCUGCCCUUGGGUUCGGAAUAACAGUUGGAAACGACUGCUAAUACCGGAUGAUGACGUAAGUCCAAAGAUUUAUCGCCCAAGGAUGAGCCCGCGUAGGAUUAGCUAGUUGGUGAGGUAAAGGCUCACCAAGGCGACGAUCCUUAGCUGGUCUGAGAGGAUGAUCAGCCACACUGGGACUGAGACACGGCCCAGACUCCUACGGGAGGAAGCAGUGGGGAAUAUUGGACAAUGGGCGAAAGCCUGAUCCAGCAAUGCCGCGUGAGUGAUGAAGGCCUUAGGGUUGUAAAGCUCUUUUACCCGGGAUGAUAAUGACAGUACCGGGAGAAUAAGCUCCGGCUAACUCCGUG
Molecule: ribosomal RNA, 433 nt
Filed under: uncultured bacterium
Lineage: Bacteria
Description: partial 16S ribosomal RNA
Rfam family: Bacterial small subunit ribosomal RNA
Source: RNAcentral